GAUGAUUAAAUGUCAUUUUGGGACACGGGCCCAUUUUGACUGAAAUGUCAUUUUGGGCCACGGACCCAUUUUGACAUAAUUUGGAUAGGCUCCUUACAAAGGGACACGGUACCUGGGACCGAGCCCUACUAGGUGUGAAUGACAUGAUGCAAAUAAAAUGACCUAAAGGCUGACCUAAAUUUUGGGGUUCACUAACAAGGUAAUUCGAGGGAGGGUAUGGUCGAUAGUGGCUUCUCAAGCUUUCCACCACUCCCUACGUCCGACGGCCCCCCUCCUAAAUUGGGGUGACUCUACAAAGAGUUCGUGCACGCGGCGCGUGCUCCUGGAGUUCACUAACAAGGCAAUUCGGGGGCGCGUAUGGUCGAUAGUGGCUGAUCAAGCUUUCCACCCACUCCAUACAUCUGACGCCCCCUCCCUCCUAAAUUAAGGGUGACUCAACAAAGAGUUCGUGCAUGCGACGCGUGCUUCGAUACUUGUUGCGGGAAGAAUUGACCGGGUAAUGCAUAUGAUGACAGUUAUGAAGAAGUAAACACAUAAAGCAAAACUGUAAACACAUAAACAACUAGCAAAUAACAAAAUAUAAGACACAAUAAAAAUUAAGCAAAGCUAAUGAAAAAGCAUAAAAAAAAACUCAACCAAAUAUUCUAAAAGCCAACAAAAUCAAGUAGUAGCUCGAACCCGCAAAUUUCCAGCAGAGUCGCCAGAGAUGUCACACCCAUUUUUAAACCAAACUCUACUUAAUCCUCUUAAAUUAAUAAAAGAUUUAGUAAAAGUUUGAAA
RNAcentral lists this long non-coding RNA (780 nucleotides) under Nicotiana benthamiana. RNAcentral describes it as "long non-coding RNA (NBEN_LNC035468)". Lineage: Eukaryota; Viridiplantae; Streptophyta; Magnoliopsida; Solanales; Solanaceae. The record is from RNAcentral.